Molecule: ribosomal RNA, 712 nt
Filed under: Bacillus sp. FJAT-4324
Lineage: Bacteria; Bacillati; Bacillota; Bacilli; Caryophanales; Bacillaceae
Description: bacterial SSU rRNA
Rfam family: Bacterial small subunit ribosomal RNA
Source: RNAcentral
UGCAGUCGAGCGGACUUGAUGGAGUGCUUGCACUCCUGAUGGUUAGCGGCGGACGGGUGAGUAACACGUAGGUAACCUGCCCAUAAGACUGGGAUAACCCACGGAAACGUGAGCUAAUACCAGAUAGGCAUUUUCCUCGCAUGAGGGAGAUGAGAAAGGCGGAGCAAUCUGCCACUUAUGGAUGGACCUGCGGCGCAUUAGCUAGUUGGUAAGGUAACGGCUUACCAAGGCGACGAUGCGUAGCCGACCUGAGAGGGUGAUCGGCCACACUGGGACUGAGACACGGCCCAGACUCCUACGGGAGGCAGCAGUAGGGAAUCUUCCGCAAUGGACGAAAGUCUGACGGAGCAACGCCGCGUGAGUGAUGAAGGUUUUCGGAUCGUAAAGCUCUGUUGCCAGGGAAGAACGCCUAGGAGAGUAACUGCUCCUAGGGUGACGGUACCUGAGAAGAAAGCCCCGGCUAACUACGUGCCAGCAGCCGCGGUAAUACGUAGGGGGCGAGCGUUGUCCGGAAUUAUUGGGCGUAAAGCGCGCGCAGGCGGCAAUGUAAGUUGGGUGUUUAAACCUAGGGCUCAACCUUGGGUCGCAUCCAAAACUGCAUAGCUUGAGUACAGAAGAGGAAAGUGGAAUUCCACGUGUAGCGGUGAAAUGCGUAGAGAUGUGGAGGAACACCAGUGGCGAAGGCGACUUUCUGGGCUGUAACUGACGCUGA